GCAGCCAAUGACGGCCCCAUGCCCCAGACCCGAGAGCACUUAUUACUGGCCAGACAGGUUGGAGUGGAGCAUGUGGUAGUGUAUGUGAACAAGGCUGACGCUGUCCAGGACUCUGAGAUGGUGGAGCUUGUGGAACUGGAGAUCCGGGAGCUGCUCACCGAGUUUGGUUAUAAAGGGGAGGAGACCCCAGUCAUCGUAGGCUCUGCUCUCUGUGCCCUUGAGGUGAAGGCCGGGUCAGACAGGGCGGCUGCUGCAGAGGGUGGGGCUAGAUGGGCACCCACAGCUCUGCUUUGU
This 294-nucleotide small RNA is filed under the name Pongo abelii (Sumatran orangutan). Its description in RNAcentral is "retained intron". Lineage: Eukaryota; Metazoa; Chordata; Mammalia; Primates; Hominidae. The record is from RNAcentral.